RNAcentral lists this long non-coding RNA (7427 nucleotides) under Populus trichocarpa (black cottonwood). RNAcentral's name for it is "long non-coding RNA (PTRI_LNC003780)". The record is from RNAcentral. Lineage: Eukaryota; Viridiplantae; Streptophyta; Magnoliopsida; Malpighiales; Salicaceae.
AAAAAAAUCAAUAAAUAUCCAUCCUUGUUCUUGUUCUCAGUGCCUUAAAUUUCAAUUAAUCUUUGGCUGUCCUUUACAAUAAUCAGAAAUCUUUAAGUAAUUUCCGAACCUGCUCUAGUGUGACAAAUAGCACAACAGUAAAAGGUCCUUGUCUUGAAAUUGUUGGGAUAAAGCCCUUAUACAGGGCCAUAGGACCCUCUGCCUUGAUAGUCUUCAUUGCACAAUCUAAUGCACCCUUAUAAGGUGGUUCAACCCCGGGCUCAACCUUCAUGUUCAUAACUCUAGUCUUUAUCACAUCAAUAGGGUUUGAAGCAACGGAAGCCACAAAACCAGCCAGAAAACUUGCUGCGACAUGGGUGCCGAUCCCAUCACUCAUCAAACCCUUCUCCAAGAUCAUCUCCUUCGCUUGGUCAUAUGAUGCAAGCUGUGAUGCAGUCACAAUCAUCGCACGGUUGACAGUAAGACCCGAACCCCGCCACAGACUAGCGACACCCUCCUGCUUUGACAUUUGACUUAAGGCAUCGACAACACUCUUGUAAUUUCUGCGCUGAUCAAUCGGGAGACGUCCAUCAGCCUGCAUACGGACCAUCGCUACAUCCGCAGGGUUACCAACAGCAGCCCCGACAGCACCGGAGAUUAGUCCAGCCACGAUCUUACGUACAAGUGGCAUGGUAUUAGUAUCUGGAUCCGUCCAUUUAUGUUUGAGGACAUCAUAAAGGCCCAUACGGGUGGUGGAGUAUAAGGUUUGGCGGAGGAUGGUAGCGGAGACACCAGAGAAAAGGGCGGCAGCACCCUCGGAUUGGAUGAUACGGACACCAAUGGAAAGGGGUCCCACACGGGGUGGAGGAGGGAGUUCUAAGGUGGUUGGUAAGGAGAUGUUGGCCGUAGAGCUCAACGUAAAAGCAGGGCGAUAGGAUUGCACGGAGGAUAGAUUUGGGAUGUGGGAUUCACCUUGAAGUUGCAUACGGACCUUGAUUAAAUCCAAAGGAUGAGUGGAAGCACCGGCAAUGAUGGAGGCAACACCACCUUCAGCAAAACCUUUCAAACCCAUGAUAUAAUUUCUAAUGGGACUUUCAAAAGCUGAUGAUCAAACAAAGAAUUGAACGAUGUGAAUAUAUAUGAGAGAGAGAAGUGAGAUGUAGUGGUGUGUUGAUGAGUUUAUUGCCAUCAUCCAUCCAUUUUUAUAUAUAGUGUCGACUGGGAGCAGGGAAAGAACAGAGAAGCUUCCAACCUUCAUGGAAGCAUGACGCGGCAAUCCAACUACACAAGUGUUUUUGCUUGUGCCUCUUUAUGGCAGUCUUGGUUUGACCUUGACAAUUGAAUAAUCAUAUACUAUUCAACUCUCUGUCACCAAUGGUAUUUUAUUAUUUUUGGCACUUGUUCUUCGGGUUCCUUGAGAAAGACCUGAUCAACAUGCAAUAAAUUAACACUCGAUGUCUCGAUCAAUAACCCGUUGAUCCUGUCCAAAUUUAUUCUAAAUCUUUAGAAUUUCUUUCUCCAUAUAAUUUCAAUUUCAAGUUCUAUCCAGUACUCUGUUCUUUUUUUUUUUUUAGUUUAACGUGGGUGUCCGGGCUAACUUGCGUGCACCUCGACUAAUCCCAUGGACCAUGAAAUUAACGACCAUGUAAGCUUUCAGUGACCAUCAUAUGAGCAACCACAUGGCUCGAAUCUGAGAUCACAAAGAAAGCAAAUCUCUUGGUCCCAAACUCUUACCAUUAGACCACCACCUAGAUGGUUCCAAUACUCUGUUCUUUUCAUUUUUUGUCAUUAAUAUUCUGUUCUUUCCAUUUAUAAAACUACAUUAAAAAAAAGUUAUAGAGGGAAAAUCUAGGAAGUUUCAAAGUGUGUGUGUCUAUAUAUAUAUAUAUAUAUAUAUAUAUAUAUAUAUAUAUAUAUACACACAUGCGCGCGUACUAUAUUCCAGAAUAAACAUGCUAAAAUACACUGAAAUAAAAAUUUAUCGUUCUAAUAAAAAAAUUAAAAUACCAACCAGAAUAAAAUUGACAAUCUUACUACAAAUUCAUAUAAUAUUUAUAUUAGUCAUAGUUACUCAAGUAAAUUUUUAGAUUUUAAAAAUUAAAUAAAAAAUAAAAUAAAAUGAAACUCAUGAUCCAAAAAAAUAAAAAUGAUAGCAGAUAACCCCCCUAAUUAUUACAAAAAUCAGGUCCAUCAUUCAUGGUGAUAAAAAUUACUUGAUUAUCGAUAAAGUAGAUCUCAUUAUUAAAAGAAAAAAAAAACCUAAAAUAUAACCCACUUUUAUUUUGAGUUUUGUCUUUGUGACUAUGAAUGACAUUGUUUAUUUUAUAGUGCUUCGUGUUUUCUUAUAUAGUUUUCAAACUUUUUAUUUAUUUCAUAUGUUUGUAUCAAUUUAUUUUAUAAUUCUUUUAUUUAUUUAUUUUCAUAGGUCUCUUAGAGUGUUCCCUCUGUUGAUUAACAAUCAAUUUUAUAAAAAAGAAAUUAAUAUGCUGUUGGGAAAAAAAUGAAAGAGAAAGAAACAAAAUUAAAAAAAAAAGAUAGACCUUUUGUUUUUACUAUUCAAGAGGCAUCGAAAACUUUAGCAUGGUCCUAAAGUUUUAACUUUUUACAUAUUCCAUCCCUAUUAUUUGAGGAUUUUUUAUUUAGGCUGUAAACUUUAUUUUAUUUGUGUUUUGGUUUUAAUAUCAAGGGAUGAGAGAGAAAAUCUUUGAAAAAAAAAGAGAUAGAAAAUAUUAUGAUGUACGCAUUUAGACAAAAAAAAAUAAUCAAUAUUGAUACCAAAAAGUUUGUCUUAAAAAGUAGAACUCUAUAAGAAUGGUUUGAAACUUACUUCUUGUUGAAAAAGAGAAGAUCCAUGCUCAGGAUUUUUUUUUUUAAAUCCAUCUAAUAUUUUAUAUUUUUGUACUAAUUUUAUGGUAUUUUGGUGUUAGAAAUAAGUUUACUUGGGUUUUUAGAAUAUAUUUUUUAAUUGUUUUCUAGUGAAAACAAAUUGAAAAAUAGGUAUUUUAGAUCAAAGAAUCCAAAUCCUGACUUUCUAGUAAUUAGAGAUGGACUAAAUUUGAACCAUGACGAUGCAUCAUCCGUUUAUUGCGAACCAAGGCGCAUCUAAGCUCUGUUUUUGGGCUAGGCAUGCAACCCUAUCUUCUUAGGCCUAACACUUCAUUUUAUAUUACCCUUUAAUUUUUUUUUUCUGGAAUCAGAUUAAUUCACCAUGAAUAAAAAAAUUAUAUUUAAAAUAUUAUUUAUUUUUUAUGGUUUUCAAAUAAGAUUAUAUCUUUUAUAAUUAUGUUAAUAAUUACUUUGUUAGUUAUUAUAUAUAAAGCUAAUAUGUAAAAUUUUUAUAUAUAAAAAAAUAUACUUAUGAAAAUUAAUUGAAGAUAAAGUAUCUAUUUUGUUUCUUUUUAUUGUAAUUAAUAUAUUAUUUAAGAUUGCAUUUACUUUUAAUAUGUAAUAGGAUUAGUGGUAAGUGAUAACUUAAAACCAUGUGGCCACAUCGCAACCGCAAGAGACUCAAAGUUUUGGUUUGAAAAUUAAUUGAAAAAAAGUAGGAUGCUAAUUAAUUAGUUAAUUACAAAACCACAUUGAAAGUUCUCAUUGAAUAAGGUUCCGUGUUUUUCAUAAAAUGAUUUACAUGUAAAAUAUUUUUGAAUAUUUAGCUUGAAAAAUAUUUUUACAUUUUCACCGGUAAUAAUAAAGAAGGAGGUGAUUGUGGUAGUGACAUAGUGAUAAUAGUGAUGACAUUGCAAUAGUGGUGGAGAAAAUGAUCAUUACCACAUAUUCUAAAUGGUGUGGGGGAAUCACUGUUUCCCUACACACAAAGCACUGUGGAUUACAACAGUAAUCCACAGUGGUUUUUUUUUUUUUUGCUAACUUUUCUCUUUUCUCUUUUUAUUUUCUUUUUAUUUUCUUUUUAUUUUCCUUUUUUUUUCAAUUUUUUUUUCAAAAUUACUUUUUUUUUCAACUUUCCUAUUUUUUAUUUUUUUUCAUUUAUUUUUUAUUUUGUUUUUUCCAAAAUUAUUUUUUUUAUUUUACUUUUUAAAUAUUGACUUGGUUAAAAUUUUUGUUUUGUAAUUUUUUUCUUUAAAAUACUGUGGAUUGCUGCGAUGUUUUUCCACAUAAUUUUUCUAUUUUAUUUCUUUAUUUUUCAAAAUUAUAUUUGUCGAUUUUUUUUUAAUAUGGAGCUGAUUGAGAAUUUAGUUUUGUAAUUUUUUUUCUUUUAAACAUCGUUGAUUGCUACAAUGUUUCUCUGCAUGGUUUUUUUUAUAAUUUUCUCCGAAAUUAUCUUUUUUUAUUUUAUUUUUUAAUAUUGAGCUGGUUAAAAAUUACAGUCACAAUAUGUGAGGAAAGCACUGUAACUUUCCUCGAAAAUUACUGUUGAUUGCUACAGUGUUUUUUCCCACAUGGUUUUUUUCUGUUUUUGUUAUGUUUUUCCCUAAAAUUAUCUUUGUCAAUUUUAUUUUUUUAAUAUUAAGCUGGUUAAGAAUUGCAAUUACAAGUAAAUACAAGUUUUUCCUCACAAAACACUAUGGAUUGAUACAGGUUUUUCUCACAUGGUUUUUUUCCAGUUUCUUUUGUGUUUUCUUUUUUUCUAAUAUUUUUUUCCAAAAUUAUCUUUGUCGAUUUUUUUUUUUAAUAUUGAGUUGGUUAAAAUUUAACUUUGUAAUAAAGCUUAAUCAUGUGGGGAAAGUAUUGUAGCUUUGCUCAUAGAACAUUGUGGAUUGCUAUAGUGUCUCUCCGCAUAGUUUUUUUUUGUUAUAAUUUUUUUCAAAUUAUCUUUUUCAAUUUUAUUUUUUUAAUAUUGAGUUGUUUGUGAAUUACAAUUACAAGUCAUUACAAAUAAGACUAAAUCAUGUGGGGAAGCACUGUAGCUUUUAUCACAAAACACUGUGAAUUGCUACAAUGUUUCCAACAUGAUUGUUUUUCCUUUUUUUGGUGUUUGUUUUGUUAGUUUUUUUCCUGAAAUUGUCUCUGUUGUUGUUUUUUUUUUUUUUUUAAUAUUGAGCUGAUUAAGAAUUUAGCUUUGUAAUUUUUUUUCUUUAAAACACUGUGAAUUGUUGCAGUGUUUUUCCAUGUGAUUUUUUUAUGAUUUUUUCCAAAAUUAUCUUUGUCGAUUUUUUUUGAAUAUUGAGUUGGUUAAGAAUUAUAAUUACAAUAAAGCUAAAUCAUAUGAGGAAAACGUUGUAGUUUUUCUCAUAAAACACUGUGGAUUGCUACAAUAUUUCUCUAAAUGAUUUUUUAUUUUAUUUUAUUGGAAAAAGUGCUAUAGUUUUCCUCACAAAACAUUGUCAAUUGCUGCAACGUUUUUUCUCAUGGGUUUUUUUCCUUCCAAAAGUAUCUUUGUUAGUUUUUUUUUUAAUAUUAAGUUGGUAGAGAAUUUAGCUUUGUAAUUUUUUUUGCUUUUUAUUAACUGAAAAGCUAAAUCAUGUGGCGAAAGCACUGUAUUUUUCCUCACAAAACACUGUAGAUUGCUACAAAUUAUUUUGUUCAGUCUUUAAGUUUUUGAUCACCAACACAACUUUUUUUUCCGUCAUGAAAUAUUUGCUCCAUCAUACCUUUAAUUUCUAUUACUUAUCUAGCGUUGGUUCACAAUUAUAACACUAUCAAAUACAUUUGUUUUAUAAGCCCGCGGCAGCGCGCGGACAUGUCAUCUCGUGUGAUAGUAAAGAAGGAGAUGGUUGUGGCGUGGCAAUGAUAAUAAAAGAGAUGGUCGUGAGAUGAUAAUAAAAAAGAAGGUGGUGGUGAGGUGGUCGUCAUGAUAGUGAUGAAGUGACGAUGACGGUGAUUCUGGUAAGGUGAUCGUGGUGGUGGCGAGAUAAUAAUGGUGGUGGUGAAUGAGGAGCUAGUUGUAGUGGUGGUUAAGGAGGAAGUGGUGAUGAGGUGAUUGUGGUGGAUGUGAGAUGACGAUAGUGGUAAAAAAGGUGGUCGAGGUGGUGAUGGUGGAGGAGUCGGUGGUGAUGGUGAGAUGAAAGUAAUGGUUGAAAUAGUUAGAUAAUAUUGUAAAUUGAUUAUUAUUCUUAAAAUAUUUUACGGAAUUUCAUGAAAUAAAAAUUUGUAAACUAUUUUGCGGAAUUUCAUGAGCUGAAAAUAUUUUUCAGUAAAUAAACUAAGUUUGAAGGUUAACUAUAAAAUAUUUUAUACUGAUUAAUUUUCUUGUAAAUUAUUUUAUGUAAAACAAACAUAAAAAAAAUUUAAUUUUUUUUAAUGAUAAACAAAGAGACACUAAAUGUGAAUUGCAAUUGUGAUAGACAAACUUCUACUUGGCUGUAGAAUCACCCCACCAAUAUUGUGCGCUUUGGCAUAUCGAUUCACGUGCAGCAAAGAUAUAAUGCAACAUCAUUGUUCAAACCAUGGUGGUUGAGUUUUUCAAGCUCAUGCUGCUAAUCAGAACUUGCUGUAGAAGGGAGUUUGGUCCACCAAAAUGGCUGAUGAGAGGCUCAAACCAUGAAGAUCAUAUGGCAUCUUGGCAUAUCGCGUCUGCAUUGGAGGGUGAAAACGAAUGAUUGAACUUGCUGGGACAUCAUUUUUGGCAAGCUGUACAAUGGGCCUAAGAUCUAAUUAUGAUCCCAUUUGGGAUUAUCAUAUAUCUCUCUUUACAUCCUAAGCUAUGAUGAACUUCAUUCAUGCUAGCAUCUUCGAGUGCCAUGUGUUACUGUUAUGGCCCAACCUGGAGCUUAGUUUUCAAGUCCUAGCACCCUCAAUUCGAAAGCUGUUGAGGCUCGAUUUUGCUCCAAUGGAUGCUAGGGCCUGUUGUGCCUGCCAAAGUCCAGGACCCGGAGGCUUAAGAAGAGGGGGCUGGUUUUCAAAGCAGGGAGAACUAUAAGAAAACACAGAAUAGAAAUCUGGACAGCUGAAUACAAAGAUUAGGAAGAGAAAAACAAGAAGGAUUUUCAUCCUCAAGUAUCAUCUCUUAAUCAGACUAGCUUACUGUAAUUUUUAGUACAUUUCACCACUGAUCAUCCAAUUAUGUUCAACCACACACUCUAAUUAAACAAAUAAUGAAGGGGGAAAAAUUAUAUUGCUUCCAACAUGUAAUCAGAGUUGAACAAACAAAUCAAUGAAUAUACAAGCUUGAGAGCUUGUUCUACUGCCUUCCUUCAGUUUAGAUACAUCUUAAUCUAUCUUCAUCGUCAUAAUAAUUGAUCAGAAAUCUUUAAGUAAUUUCCGAACCUGCUCUAGUGUGACAAAUAGCACAACAGUAAAAGGUCCUUGUCUUGAAAUUGUUGGGAUAAAGCCCUUAUACAGGGCCAUAGGACCCUCUGCCUUGAUAGUCUUCAUUGCACAAUCUAAUGCACCCUUAUAAGGUGGUUCAACCCCGGGCUCAACCUUCAUGUUCAUAACUCUAGUCUUUAUCACAUCAAUAGGGUUUGAAGCAACGGAAGCCACAAAACCAGCCAGAAAACUUGCUGCGACAUGGGUGCCGAUCCCAUCACUCAUCAAACCCUUCUCCAAGA